CAAACUGGAGAUGGCGACCGGCGCACGGGUGAGUAACGCGUAUCCAACCUGCCGAUAACUCGGGGAUAGCCUUUCGAAAGAAAGAUUAAUACCCGAUGGCGUAAUAGAACCGCAUGGUUUGAUUAUUAAAGAAUUUCGGUUAUCGAUGGGGAUGCGUUCCAUUAGGCAGUUGGUGGGGUAAUGGCCCACCAAACCUUCGAUGGAUAGGGGUUCUGAGAGGAAGGUCCCCCACAUUGGAACUGAGACACGGUCCAAACUCCUACGGGAGGCAGCAUG
Molecule: ribosomal RNA, 276 nt
Filed under: uncultured bacterium
Lineage: Bacteria
Description: partial 16S ribosomal RNA
Rfam family: Bacterial small subunit ribosomal RNA
Source: RNAcentral